Molecule: RNA transcript, 3715 nt
Organism: Sciurus carolinensis (gray squirrel)
Lineage: Eukaryota; Metazoa; Chordata; Mammalia; Rodentia; Sciuridae
Gene: Cfap91
Gene name: cilia and flagella associated protein 91
Exons: 19
Source: RefSeq, a predicted model, not a curated record
GACUAGACCUUCCUAGCUUGUCCAGGCUGGCGGGAGGAAAGAGGCAGCACCAUGAGCCACGUAGUGACCAUCGAGAAGCCCCCGACUGGCCCUCAAAUAUCUCAGCAACGGGGUUGCGAGAAGUCGAGGGCCAGGGGCUACUCCUCCAAUCGAACGUACGAUUUCCUUUAUGAUCCAUUGUUUAUUGUGUCAAGUGAGAAAGACCACAUGCGGGCAAAUAUUCAAACCACCCUGAUUGGAAGCCGACUGAAAAAAGUUCCCAGAUUUAGAACCAUGUUCAGUAACCUAAUCCAUUAUCCAAGAUAUUCCCAGUAUUGGAGCAAGUCCGAUCCUGUCCCAGCCUUCAUCAGUCGAGAAUGGAGGGGACUUGAGCAGCACAAAGAAGUCCUCUGGCAGCUUGCCACAAUGGGCACUUCUUUUCAGAUACCUAAAGAAAUUAAUGAAGAUCCUGAUGUUACUGGAAAGAAUCGCUAUAAGUACUUUGACAGGCCCUUCCUUCCCUUUUAUCAACAUAUGCCACUCAAUGUUGUUUUUGCAGCAACCAAGACAGAACCAUAUAUUUUUCCUCCUGUUCCUUCUAAGUACCCAACCAUCCCUUCGAAAUCUACUGUGGGCACUCAGACUGUUUAUAGGGAUACUGAUGUUCAAACAGAUCCAUACUCUCCAGAAUAUGUAGUAUGCCAGGACACUAUCCCUGAACUCUUGACCCUGGCUACUCUGACUUGGGGUCGAGGUCUCCCAGCAGGACAGGCUGAGGUGGAAAUGAUAGAACGAGCCCGGGAGAAGCGUGCUUGGGAAGCCACUCUUCCCCCUCUGGAUGACAUCCGCCAGUUUGAGAAGAGGAGGAGGAUGAUGAAUGCAAUGGAGAGGAAGGAGUGGGCCUUUAGAGAGCAGGAGAUUGAAAAACUGCAGGACAUUCGCCUGGAAAUUUUAAAAGAGCUGCUGAAGAAGCGUGAAGAGCGUCAAAAUGAAUUGGACAUGAAGCACUUGAAUGCCAAGUGGUGUAAACUGCAGGAAGCAAAAGAAGCCAAACUGGCACAAAUCCAGCACACACAUAUAUCAAAAAUCAGAAAGAUCAAAGCAAAGGGAAAGAACAUUGAAGGGAAACUGCAGAGAAGAGAUAUCAUCAAGGAUUAUUCUGAUUAUGCAUCGACAGUCUAUGGACCUCUAUCACGCCUUGGCCGUUUCCCAGACAACAACUCAGAGGACUUUGUAGUAAAAAACUACUAUCUCAACACCUAUGAAGGACUAGUUGAACUUGAGUCAAGUCUCCCAGAUUUUGUGACACAACCAAGAAUCAGAACUCCUAAACCAAAAAUCGUUACCACUAAAGCUGGUUUUCUAAAGAGGGCAGCAAGACUGGACUAUGAGUUGGCAGAGGUUCAUAAGGCACUGUUGGAAAAGAAGAAUAAAGCUCUGGAAGCAAAGAAACCUCUGCGCCUCCUUCAAAGAAACCCCAUACCUGAGCCUCGGCUUCCAACUCCAACCUUGGAAAUGAGUUCCAAUGAAGAAGAAGACGUAGAAAUGGCUGUGAUCUACCUUCAAAGCUUACUCCGGGGCAGAGUCGUUCAGAACAUGAUGUUUGAAGGGAAAGAAAAGCGACUCGAGUUGAUCCAGGAGCUGCGCACCAGCCAUGCACUCCAAGAGGAUGAAAAGCUAGUGAAGAAAGCCGAGAAGCAAGUGACCCUGGCCUUACAACGGCAGAGGAACCUGCAUGAGCACAAGGUGUCGCUUGUUGAAAACCAUUUGGCUGGGCUGGAAGGAAGGGCGCUGGUUGACAUGCUUGACUUCCUGUCCAAAGAGCUGGUGAGACUACAGGAAGAGAGGAGGAUCCAUGCCUUUGCCAUGCUAGCAGAGCGUCAGCGGCGGAUGCGAGAGGCCGAAGAGAGUGGUCGUCGCCAGGUGGAACAAAGGCGCCUGCGUGAGGAGGACCAGAUAUUUAAGGAGGUGAUUAAAGUUCAUCAAAGUACUGUAACUUCGUAUCUGGAAGACAUAAUACUGAAUACUGAAGCGAAUACUGCAGAAGAACAGGCCAGAUCAGAAAUUGAGAAGAUGGCUGAGGAAAUCAAUGACAUUGCUUAUGAAAUGGAAAACCGUCGAACAUAUCUUCAGUCAGAGGAGAUUGUUGCUGAGUUGGUUUAUAGUUUUCUGAUUCCAGAGGUACAAAAAGACUUUGUCAAAGAAAAAGUGAGGAAUGCACAGCGGAAGCAUAUUCUUGCAGCCCAUCAGAUCAUCCAUCAGCACACAGAAGCCAUGGUCCAGCGGAAAUUUGUUGAGCAACCAAAAGAUAAGGUCUCAAAUGCUGACAAGUUACGUGAGGAAGGAACUCAAAAUGAGAACAGGAGCUAAGCAUCCUGCAGAACCAGCACCACAUGGAUGACACCAAGAUCUUCCGCCAGCUCCUGCAGUAGCUAAGCCUCCAAGGUCACAGCUGCAGUUAUACAACGAAAGUCCUACAUUGUAAUUUUAAAAAAUCUUUAAAGGAAGCCAUAAAAUCAUCUAAAGAAUUUCAGCAUCUGUGCUUCUCCAAGGUACACAGUUCUCGUGGGUUUGUCCAUGUGUGAUUCUUGAGGAAAAAUAUUUAUUUUCCUUAAACUCCCCAAAAUUUAAAAUAAUCCUAACAAUAAUCAAAUGGAAGAGCCUUGUUCUCUUUGAUGGCUUUCUACAUGUUCUACUUCAAGAGAAAAUUUUCAUUUGUCUCGUUUUAACAUUUUACAAUGAUAAUAUCCUGAUUCGCUGAAUCAAACAAAAAGAAAUGUUGCUGAAUUUUCCUCAAGUAGUUUCGGCUUGCCAUUCACAGGACAAUUGUCUUUAUUUGUGGUUAAUUUCGACUGUGCGUCACCCCCUCAUCCAGCACUUCUCCCAGUUAUAUAUCCAACAGAAAUUUGAGACUACGUGCACCAGCAGGCAUGACGACAAUGUUCACAGAGGCAGUGUUCAUCAUGGUCCCCGAGCUGUGAGGCCCGAGUGUCCAUGCCAUUGGACUGGAAAGGUGAAUGUCGACGAAUUCAUACAACGGCACAGCAGCCCACCGUGCAGCCCCAGAUCUAACGCGCAUGUUCCCACAACGCCCGCCCGUCAGGAGGGCGCUGCGGAAGGCAGUCUUCCCCCUUCACGAGCAUCAGAGUCGCAGGGCUCCCUCUCCGUUCCAACACUGGCAAAUAGGAAAAACAAAGCGCCAGCAACAAAAUCAACAGGAGGCCGUGUAGACUUUACAAAGGAAAAUGUAGAAAAUAGGAUAAAAGUCUACUUAACAAAUAUAUUACUGUAAGAAGCAAGAAAAGUUUAGAAACAUUUUUCUUGGUGUUUUCAAUAGGUGGCUUAAAGAAGCGACCUCUUUGGCGAGUGAAGCAGGGAAUAAUAAAAACAGACAAGGGCAAAACAGACAGAUGGCAGCAGAAAAGGAAAGAGAUGGGUAAGAAAAAACAUGCAAAAAGACUAAAAUCCAAUGACAAAGUUUAUAUGUUCAUUUGAAUGCAGUUAAAAGAACAGAAGUAUCACAGCAGAGAAUAAAAUGGGUAAUAUUGGUGACAAAUUUGUUAAAUCAUCCAAUAUGGAAUAGGAAGGAAAGGGCCAAGAGAUAAAAAAUGACAAAAAGGUUAGCCCCAGAUGGCUAACCCCACAUGGAGUAGAAAUUCUUAAAGAAGAAGAAACCAGAACAAAUAAAAUAGCAAUAAGAAAAGUUGAAUAAAAAAUUUAUGAACUGAAAUAAAUG